Molecule: ribosomal RNA, 492 nt
Filed under: uncultured bacterium
Lineage: Bacteria
Description: partial 16S ribosomal RNA
Rfam family: Bacterial small subunit ribosomal RNA
Source: RNAcentral
AGUGAACGCUGGCGGUAGGCCUAACACAUGCAAGUCGAACGGCAGCACAGUAAGAGCUUGCUCUUACGGGUGGCGAGUGGCGGACGGGUGAGGAAUACAUCGGAAUCUACUUUUUCGUGGGGGAUAACGUAGGGAAACUUACGCUAAUACCGCAUACGACCUACGGGUGAAAGCAGGGGAUCUUCGGACCUUGCGCGAUUGAAUGAGCCGAUGUCGGAUUAGCUAGUUGGCGGGGUAAAGGCCCACCAAGGCGACGAUCCGUAGCUGGUCUGAGAGGAUGAUCAGACACACUGGAAAUGAGACACGGUGCAGAGUCAUACUGGAGGAGGCAGUGGGGAAUAUUGGACAAUGGGCGCAAGCCUGAUCCAGCCAUACCGCGUGGGUGAAGAAGGCCUGCGGUUUGUAAAUCCCUUUUGUGGGGAAAUAAAAGCAGCAGGUUAAUACCCCGCUGUUCUGACGGUACCCAAAGAAUAAGCACCGGCUAACUUCGUG